This 1575-nucleotide long non-coding RNA is filed under the name Homo sapiens (human). RNAcentral's name for it is "long intergenic non-protein coding RNA 3142". The record is from RNAcentral. Lineage: Eukaryota; Metazoa; Chordata; Mammalia; Primates; Hominidae.
AAGUAGCUGUGGGAGCAGAUCUCAGAGGAUUAUUAUGCUUGAUGCUGCUGUUAGAGAUAUUUGCUGUCUUACAGGCAAAGGAGAGAUUGUGGAAAAAGAAUGGGAUAGAGGUCUCUAACCCAGGCUGGAGUUCAUUGGCACAAUCUCAGCUCAUUACAGCCUUGACCUCCUGGACUCAAGCCAUCCUCCCACCUCGGCCUCCCAAGUAGCUGAAACCACAGCUCACAAUUCUCUGAUGGGCUUGCCUACUCAUUUAGCCCUUCAUGAAGUCCCUGAGCUGCCUUUUUCAUCUGGAGUCUCCAUGCACAACGGUGAAAAGUGCAUCUUUUAUCUCACCUGGUAGGUAAGCUUUCCCCAAAUCCCAAGCAACUGUUAAAGGAAUUGAGGAAUGCUCUGUGAGAAGAAAAUCAUGAGAGCAGAAGGAUGUUCUGCUCUCAAGGGAGGCCAAUGAAAGAGAAAUCAAUCACGUGAAUUAAGAGCUUUUGAUGAAUAAAUAAUUAGCAUACACACUAAAUUAAUUAGCCAAUUUCCAAGUCAGGCUUAGUAUUGCAUGCUAGAGCUAGCAAGCAUUGCAUCAGUUGAAAUGUAACUGUUUGGCUUUGCUUCAUAAGAUUUUCAAAUGCAAAAUGACUGUGCCUGGUUAAAGGCUACCAUUUAAGAGAAUAAAUGGCCAAAACCAGGUGGUUAAGCCCUCACUUCCCAAUGCACAACCAAAGACUAAGGCAAGUAUUUCUUUAUAAACAGCUUCUGACCACUGUAUUUAAUAGUGUUGACAUUUACAUAAAUGGAAUGCAGUGUAGUUGCUGAACAUAUACUGGGAUGAUUCCAUAAUCCUGUUUUAAUUAGAUGGAUGUUGCGAGCAUACAAAAAUCACAAGCUGCACUCCCUGUGGUGAUGCCAUACUGGCAAGGAAUCAAUCACCACGGCUCUGGUUGCCAUAGAAACUGAUAGCUCCUGCACCACCAUCUAAAUGGCAAAUGAUUGGUGGUGUACUCAUAACACAGGGAGAGCAAUGAGUUUUUCUAUCCUGUCCAGCAGCUGUGCCAGAGAGUUAAUUAAAAGCAGAGAACAUGAAAUAAAUCUAAAUCUGUGAAGAAAUGAAAUGUACAGUACAAAUUGAAUUCCCGUGUCGGACAGAAAUUAAUAUGCAGCGCAAACCACAGAGCUGCCUGAACAAGCAGCAGCUGGGAAUCUUGGGAAAUGUUGCUUCUCAGGCGGUCAGAGCUGAAAUGUGGAGAGGGCACCUCCUUAUCUUAUUACCUAAACAAGCACUUUGUUCAGCAUUUGUGUUGACUGAUGCAUGCAAAUUGCAGCCUCAGAUGUUAAGAGUUCCUGUUUUCAAGCAGGAAGGACAAAGCUUAACUAAGAUUUAAUUAACAAACUGUUAGCAACUGCAGUUUAUCAGCUGUGAACACAAUGUAAGUAAAUGUUUCUACUCCUGUACUAGAAUACACCAGUCAACCUCCGUGAAAGUCAAUGUGUUUUUAUUGAUAAGCCACGAAUUCAGAAUUCAUAUUUCAAAUACCACAAGUCGAGGAACAAGUACCUGAAAUGCUUUCUCCAGAAAUAAAAGAA